CCCAAGAGAUCGGGAUAACACCUGGAAACAAGAUGCUAAUACCGGAUAACAACAGAUGAUGCCUAUCAACUGUUUAAAAGAUGGUUCUGCUAUCACUCUUGGAUGGACCUGCGGUGCAUUAGCUAGUUGGUAGGGUAACGGCCUACCAAGGCGAUGAUGCAUAGCCGAGUUGAGAGACUGAUCGGCCACAUUGGGACUGAGACACGGCCCAAACUCCUACGGGAGGCAGCAGGG
Molecule: ribosomal RNA, 234 nt
Filed under: uncultured Lactobacillus sp.
Lineage: Bacteria; Bacillati; Bacillota; Bacilli; Lactobacillales; Lactobacillaceae
Description: partial 16S ribosomal RNA
Rfam family: Bacterial small subunit ribosomal RNA
Source: RNAcentral